Mauremys mutica (yellowpond turtle) is the source of this 120-nucleotide long non-coding RNA. RefSeq lists it as uncharacterized. NCBI's taxonomy places the organism in Eukaryota, Metazoa, Chordata, Testudines, Geoemydidae. The transcript has 2 exons. The record is from RefSeq and is a predicted model, not a curated record.
GUGAUUUUACUAGAAAACAGACGUCCCUGUUUAGAAGGCAGAAACGCAAUGGAGGAGAAUCUCACAUCCCUGAGCUGCCAGGUGACAGUGGCAGGAAGAAAACGCACUGCAAUGAAAUUU